This 496-nucleotide ribosomal RNA is filed under the name uncultured bacterium. Its description in RNAcentral is "bacterial SSU rRNA". It matches the Rfam family "Bacterial small subunit ribosomal RNA", at positions 30 to 508 of the family's 1533-position model. The record is from RNAcentral.
AUUGAACGCUGGCGGCAGGCCUAACACAUGCAAGUCGAGCGGUAACAGGAAAUAGCUUGCUAUUUUGCUGACGAGCGGCGGACGGGUGAGUAACGCGUAGGAAUUUGCCCAGUAGUGGGGGAUAGCCCGGAGAAAUUCGGAUUAAUACCGCAUACGCCCUAAGGGGGAAAGCAGGGGAUCUUCGGACCUUGCGCUAUUGGAUAAGCCUGCGUGAGAUUAGCUAGUUGGUGAGGUAAGGGCUCACCAAGGCGACGAUCUCUAGCUGGUCUGAGAGGAUGAUCAGCCACACUGGAACUGAGACACGGUCCAGACUCCUACGGGAGGCAGCAGUGGGGAAUAUUGCACAAUGGGCGAAAGCCUGAUGCAGCCAUGCCGCGUGUGUGAAGAAGGCUCUAGGGUUGUAAAAGCACUUUCAGUAGGGAGGAAAAGUACGAUAGUUAAUACCUAAUCGGCCGUGACGUUACCUACAGAAGAAGCACCGGCGUAAACUCCGUCG